This 729-nucleotide ribosomal RNA is filed under the name uncultured eukaryote. Its description in RNAcentral is "SSU rRNA". It matches the Rfam family "Eukaryotic small subunit ribosomal RNA", at positions 671 to 1426 of the family's 1831-position model. The record is from RNAcentral.
CGCGUGCACUGGUUCGGCCGGGCCUUUCCCUCUGGGGAGCCGCAUGCCCUUCACUGGGUGUGUCGGGGAACCAGGACUUUUACUUUGAACAAAUUAGAUCGCUUAAAGAAGGCCUAUGCUCGAAUACAUUAGCAUGGAAUAAUAGAAUAGGACGCGUGGUUCUAUUUUGUUGGUUUCUAGGACCGCCGUAAUGAUUAAUAGGGACAGUCGGGGGCAUCAGUAUUCAAUUGUCAGAGGUGAAAUUCUUGGAUUUAUUGAAGACUAACUACUGCGAAAGCAUUUGCCAAGGAUGUUUUCAUUAAUCAGGAACGAAAGUUAGGGGAUCGAAGACGAUCAGAUACCGUCGUAGUCUUAACCAUAAACUAUGCCGACUAGGGAUCGGACGAUGUUAUAUUUUGACUCGUUCGGCACCUUACACGAAAGUAAAGUUUCUGGGUUCUGGGGGGAGUAUGGUCGCAAGGCUGAAACUUAAAGAAAUUGACGGAAGGGCACCACCAGGGGUGGAGCCUGCGGCUUAAUUUGACUCAACGCGGGGAAACUCACCAGGUCCAGACACAAGUAGGAUUGACAGAUUGAGAGCUCUUUCUUGAUUUUGUGGGUGGUGGUGCAUGGCCGUUCUUAGUUGGUGGAGUGAUUUGUCUGCUUAAUUGCGAUAACGAACGAGACCUUAACCUGCUAAAUAGCCCGCAUUGCUUUGGCAGUGCGCCGGCUUCUUAGAGGGACUAUCGG